This 292-nucleotide ribosomal RNA is filed under the name uncultured Verrucomicrobiota bacterium. RNAcentral describes it as "uncultured Verrucomicrobia bacterium partial 16S ribosomal RNA". Lineage: Bacteria; Pseudomonadati; Verrucomicrobiota. The record is from RNAcentral.
GGACUACCGGGGUAUCUAAUCCCGUUUGCUCCCCUGGCUUUCGUGCCUCAGCGUCAGGAAAUGUCUAGAGACUCGCCUUCGCCACUGGUGUUCCACUUGAUAUCUACGCAUUUCACUGCUACACCAAGUAUUCCAGUCUCCCCUCCAUUCCUCGAGCAGGAUAGUAUCCGAUGCAGUUUCCGAGUUAGGCUCGGAGAUUUCACAUCAGACUUACCCUACCGCCUACGCACCCUUUACGCCCAGUGAAUCCGAACAACGCUUGGGACCUCUGUAUUACCGCGGCUGCUGGCAC